Molecule: long non-coding RNA, 288 nt
Filed under: Setaria viridis
Lineage: Eukaryota; Viridiplantae; Streptophyta; Magnoliopsida; Poales; Poaceae
Description: long non-coding RNA (SVIR_LNC004752)
Source: RNAcentral
AGACUGACUAUAUCAGAUUCUUCUGAUCGAGUUGUUCGUGCGCGAGUUCUGCCAGUUGAGCCAACUGUCUUGUGUACUUGUUCUGAAGCAUCACGUGGGUGAUGAGAUCAAUAGACGCAACGGUAGCCAGGGGAGUACGAUGGUGAUGUGUUUGAACUACUUCAAAGGCAUUAUCCAGGUUCUAGAUUGGUAGGUCCGCUGCAAGGCAACGGCGGCGCUCUGCCCUUGCGGCGUUUCUUGCUCCUUAUCAAGUUCUUUGAGCUUCAGUCUCUUCCCGACAACGUUGGC